CAGUCAGCUCAGUCGGUAGCAGCACAGCAGCAGUCAGUACGAGUUCAGCGAGCAACCUGUGCGGACGGGAAAAUUUUACGGUUCGAACCUACGGAGCUAAGUAGGCAGUGAGUGGUGUGAUAUUCUGACAGCGAUAUCAAAUAAAAACAGUUCCCCAACUGAGUCAAGUGGACGUUGAAGAUGCACAUCGGCUAAUCGAAGGAGAAGCAGGCGGCAUCACCCAGAACGAGACAAUCAGAAUAAACAGGGGCGGGCAGUGCGGUUGUUGUGUGUCCAAGUGCAAUUAUCGUGUUUCUCUCGAAGAAAAAUUCGGCCUGGCCGACAUAGACAAGAAGAAAAUACGUUCAGUGCCCUAGAUCGUGAAAGUGCAAACGAAAAAAGAAAAAAAAAAACAAAAUUAAGUAAGAUGCGACGAUUUCAAGUGCAUGCAAGCUUUGCCGUAGCGAUGCUUACUGUGCUCGCGCUAACCGGUGGUCCUUCCGGUGGACACGCUUCGGCCAUCGAAGGCACUCCAUACUACGGACGGUCCUACCGGGGCAACAGCAACGGCGACAACCGGAUGAUUUUCCCCAACGAAAAGGAACGCUACAAUCUCUUGAACAAAGAUGUCAAACGCGAGGCGGACGAUUUCGACGGUUGCUGCGGCGAUGAUAUACCAUUGGAACUUGCCCUGCAGCUGGGCAACAUCAGCUCCAGUGACGACGUUUUUAACCUGGUCGAGCCGGACUCCAUCGAUUCCCGCAUCUUCUCCAAGGAGGGAUUUGGAGAACGAUCAGCCGGAGAGGUACCGAAGCCAGCCGGGUGCAACACCCAACCGACGAUCGUUAGUCUACGACCGGAGAACAACAGCGAUCCGCGACUGAUCUACAGCCCAACGUGCACACGGGUACAGCGCUGCAGUGGCUGCUGCGUUUCGAAGCGACUCUCGUGCCAGCCCACAUCGACCCGCACCAGGACAUUUACCGUGAACGUUCUUGAGUACGUCAGCGGUGUAAAGACCCGCUUUAAAAGCCGCGAUCUGGCAUUGAUCGAGGAGCACGUGGGCUGUGCCUGUCAGUGUCGCGUUAAGGAAGAACACUGCAACAGCUUGCAGCGGUAUAAUGCUCGUAACUGUCGGUGUGAUUGCGUGAACAACGAUGACCGAUCGAAGUGCCUACAGCAGCAGGACAUCAAGCAGUGGAACCCAGACACGUGCCUGUGCGAAUGCAACGACCCCAAGGAGUGCACAAGUGGCUCUUACUUCGACCACAACUACUGCAAGUGCCUGCAGACCGACUUUUACAGCAUACAUUAACAUCAUUCGAUGCACGACAAAAAGUAAAUGAAUCAAUCAAUUGCACAAUUUCAAAAUUUUAUCUCUCAUCCCAUCAUCGAUAACAAAAGCCACGCGACAAAAUCAACAAACAAACAGUUUGUUUUACGACUUUUUGAACGAUCAAAAUUAUCAACCAAAUUUUUCAACGGGCAACAACAGUAGAAAAGAGAAGAAGAAGAUUAUCUGAAAUUAUCACAAGAAUUAAAAGCAAACAUUGUAUCUAUCAUUGAUAGAGAAUAGUUUACAAAUAUAACCAUUGCAGUAGCCGAUAAGAUAGAUGGAUGUGCCAAACCCGAACGAACAAGCGAAUACCCACAUAUAAUCCUUGGUAAACGUUUAGACUGGAAUACCUGUAGCCUUAGUAGAUGUUAGACCUCCACAUAACUGGCGGUUUUACUUAGCGUGUCGUUGUGUAUGUGCGUGUUUCUUCCCUCAAUUCGCGGUCUUCCGCCCGCCCGGUGAUUUCCUACUGCAGCUACUCUGCCAGCCGCUACCGCAAUCAGUCGACGCUCGAUCGCAGACGGUUGAUUCUGCGACCGGUACCGGCUGCUAUUUCCGUUGAAUCGAUCCCAUCCGCCUGAGACCGCAC
Sabethes cyaneus is the source of this 1904-nucleotide RNA transcript. RefSeq lists it as uncharacterized. The transcript has 7 exons. Lineage: Eukaryota; Metazoa; Arthropoda; Insecta; Diptera; Culicidae. The record is from RefSeq and is a predicted model, not a curated record.